AUGACUAAACCAAACCAUUGGAAACCCCAUGAUCAAAUUUUGCCACUUUUGAGUGUGUUUCCUAUUUUAGAAGUAGUAACUGCUUUUGCGGCCACACUAAAAAGUCCAAAAAAAACUUUGAGGGAGCAAACUAACUCGGAAAUUUAUGGAAGUUGGUAUCAUGUCUUCAUAGGACCCUUGUGGGGUUUAGUAAAAUGUUCCUUGUGUUACGACAAAAACUUCAUGCACUUCAUAUACAAACUAAACACUCUUCAUCGAAGUGUACCUGUUUCGAAGGGAAACCGUCAACUACCUAACUGA
This 300-nucleotide ribosomal RNA is filed under the name Triticum aestivum (bread wheat). Its description in RNAcentral is "partial small subunit ribosomal RNA". Lineage: Eukaryota; Viridiplantae; Streptophyta; Magnoliopsida; Poales; Poaceae. The record is from RNAcentral.